Long non-coding RNA from Triticum aestivum (bread wheat), 6644 nucleotides. RefSeq lists it as uncharacterized. The record is from RefSeq and is a predicted model, not a curated record. The transcript has 6 exons. NCBI's taxonomy places the organism in Eukaryota, Viridiplantae, Streptophyta, Magnoliopsida, Poales, Poaceae.
UCCAUAUCCUUAAAUUCCAAGCCUCAGAUGAUUUGCAUUAAUAUAUUAUCUCUAAUACCUUGGCCCAAACAUUGAUGGUACAUGCAAAAUUUAUAAAGCUAGAUUUGUUGUGAGUGCAUAGCAUAUUGAAAUAAAUUUGGAUGAACUAACUUGAGUUCUUCCAUCAAGUUUUAUUAUAUCAAAUCUUCAAUAAAAAAUUUACAACAAAAACGACAUGUAAAUAUUGACAAGCCUGAUGUUGUGUGCCCGCAACACUUCUGCCGCUGAUUAUGAUGAUGAAUUCUUCGCUUAAAUGGAAGUUUUUCAGUGUGAACUUUUGAUGAACUAUCUUCAUGAUGAUGAUGCUAGAUGUUAUAUGAUUUGUUAUGUUAAUGAAAAUCUUUUAUACCUAGCUGACUACCCAUUAUGUUAUACUCCCUCCAUUCCUUUAUAUAAGGUGUAUUUGUUUUUUCAAAAGUCAAACGAGUGCAUGUUUGACCAAGCUUUUAGAAAAAUAUAUACAUAUUCACAAUAUGAAAUUUAUAUAAUUUGAUCCAUCAUGAAAAGUAGUUUCAUGUUUUAUCUAUUAGGUAUAGCAGAUGUUAUUAUUUUAUUCUAUAAUCUUGGUCAAACAUUUAAAUGGUUGACUUCCACGGAAAUCAAUACACCUUAUAUUCUGGAACGGACUAUGAUUUAUUUAUUUUCUCCAGUUGCAAUGCACGGGCUAUUACCAAUAAUUUUCAUUAUCAAAUGCAGUGUUAAUGAAAGGGUGUUCCUUUAUCAUGGUUAAAGGUUGCAUGUCUUCUGAUAAGUGCCUUGAUAUCUUUUCGGUCUCUACUUGAAUGUUGCGUAAUUAAUUUUUUAGUGCCCAACAAUCUUUGCACUGAUUCUUGCAAGGGAUCCUCGAGGAAGCUAAGUAAAUGACUAUUCUCAGUGGAGACGACACCAUAGAUGUUGUUUUGAAGUAAGCUCCUGCUCACCAUUCUUUUGUAGUUCCUUCAGAAGAAAUGAUUCCAUUCUUUUACUUGAGACUGCAAGAGUUGUUUUUACCCAUUCAUCUUAGUUUAAUACAAAGUAGAUGCCAGGACAGAAAUAUAUACUUGAAACCCAAUGAGGUCAAUGAUGUGCGAGAUUCUUUGUUCAGAGGAUGGCUCAAAGACCAAUUACAUCAAACUAAGAAGGUUUAACCAAAAUGAUGCAAGUUUGAAUUGCCUCUCGCUUAAACUUUCUUAAUUAUGCAUUCAUCAUUUUUGAGAUGUUAAGCUCUGAUGAUCACACUACUUGAUUAUCCUAUUCCAGGAUCCGUUGAGGAAGCCAUUAAGAAAUUAAGGGAGAACAAUAUAAAGGCCUUUGUGUUCGAUCUACAGAUUAACAGAUUUUUACCUGUAGAAUUCGUGGUAGAUUUUCACCUAAUGUUGUUGAAAAAUCUAAAUCUUUACAUGGUUGUUUUGAUGCAGUGGUCGGCUUUUUCCUGAAGGGAUUGAGAUUACCAAGAUUCGGAUCAGAUCCCUGCUUUGUCAGCGCAGGAGAACUGCUCAAGCACGUAGGCACGGCGUGCCUGACGCGAAUUACACCCGAACUGCCCUCCUUUGACAUAAAAGGUACCCGAUUCCCUCGACAAAAAUCCUGACUAAAUCGCAAGUUUCCUUGCUUGAAAAUUGAUGCAUCUGAGGUUUUCAAUCUCGCCGACUUCGCUGGAGUGGCGUGCGCCCAUGCUCAAGUAGAGGUACGAAUUUGCAAUAUUAAUUGUUUUUAGGUGCUUCUACAUGAAUCCACCAUUAGUACCAACUUAGCCACCACACUUUCCCUACUGUAGCAGCCUUCAAAGCACCACUGUAUGUGGGCUCUCUCAAUGUCAUUUCAUUGGCUGAGUUGAUCUCACAGGCUAACAUCAAUUUAGAUUGCACAUUUAUCAGUUGGAUUAUAUCAUAGACUGAAGUUCAGACCAUUAUAAUGUAUGUUGCUUCUUUGAAAGUUAGACUUCAUAAAGAAGCAAUUUCAUCCGACCACAGUAGCUCUGAAAAAAUGCAUAACGGAUUUGUGGGUUCACCUUCAUGGAUGGUGCUUUUCUUGUGAUAGUGUCAUAACUGAUAAAUAAAUAAAUCUACAUUGCUUCACAUGCUAGAUGAUUUUGGUGGCCUACUGUGUGACGUAUACUUGACUGGUGAGGGCUUAAAAUGGGGCCUUGGUUUCAAAACUCUGUUUGUGCACAAUCUAUAUCCUCUAUUGUGAAGGAACUGGAUGGAGCAAGGUCCACAUGCCUUAAAUUUCUUAAAGAUCUCCUGCACUUGCUUAAUUUACCCAGUGGAGUAAACAAAAGCUGGGUCCAGUACUACUGCAUGCCUAAUGCAGAACUUCUUUUAUGCACAACCCCAGUGCGGGAGUGUGAAUUGGUGAUCCCACUACAUUGGUUAACUGAGUGCAAUGGUAAUACCGUCUGAAUUGCCUCACCCUCUUUAUACUGUCUGAUUUCACUUAGUCAUUGUUGCAUUUACCAUAAGAUUAACUUCUUAUACUGAUAUGCUAUUUUUUCUUCCUUAAGAAAUAUUGUAACGGCCAUAUCUUUUCUUAUGUUCCAUUGUUAUUGAUCUGUUUUUCAUAAUUUUAAUUCUUAUUUUUCAAUUAUUAUCUCUAUGUAUGCCAAAAGCUGGAUUCGUGACAAGUUUAUUUGGGAGAAUAGUUAUGCCCAAAUUUAAUAAAGUUUUGCUGAACAUACAGUAUCACAUAAAUCCUUCUAUCAUCUUAUUUCCAAAUGUUCAAUUUUAUGAGAGGAAUUAGCACGGCGGCCAAGUUAAGGCGUAUUUCCAUGCCGGUGGGCCGAGCUCGACGGCAAUCCGGCACAGGCGGUGUCCACCAACAGCUCCUCUUCCAAGGACAAAGUGGGCCACGCACAACAGACCUGCAUGCAGAUUUUCGUUUUCAUGUCAUUUAUUUGCUUAUAAUUUAUACUUGGUCUUAAUACUAGCUUUUUGUUUGUAAUAGUUCAUGGGGUAAAAUUUCUUCAUGACGUUGGUUCGUUUGCAUAGCCAAAUUAUUAUGAUUAUAUUUUAUUACUCUCUGUCGUCGGAUAGAAAUAUAUUACUUUAAUGUCUUUGUCCUCAUUUUGCUCUCUUGAACCAGAGUUUCUUCACAUCAUGUACCUCUUUGGUGAAGCUUUCCCUUCUUUUACUCUUACAUAAGCUAUGGAACUGAGCUACCUACGCAUAGAAACCAAACGUUACGGCUAGGAAUAUUGCUGAAGAGUCGUGUAUAUGGAGUGUUGUAGGUGCCAUGGGAUAGAUGCGUAUAGUUGGUUCUCAUUUUGUUUCAAUCAAGUGGCAUCACAUAGUGUAUGUCCUUGCAUGCUAUAUAAUGUUUAGUCACAACAAGUGGGGUAAUGUUUUGUUCAUAUCUAAUGUAGAAAUGUAGAAUCGUGCUAUUUGAGAGGUAUAAAUAGAUUGUUUUAUACUCCCUCUGUUUGGAAUUACUUAUCGCAGAAAUGAAUGUAUCUAGACGUAUUUUAGUUCUAGAUACAUCCAUUUUCGAGACAAGUAAUUCCGAACGGAGGGAGUAGGUGUUAAGUACAUAUUUAAUUAUUUCCUAUAUGUUGCAAUGCAGCCCAUCUGAUAUGAUGAUUUUUAGGUUGUAUGUUUUUUUUCCCGUUGCAACGCACGGGCAUAUUUACUAGGUUAAAGAUAAAGUUGUUCACCCGGUUAGUUGACUAGGAUUGACGUUGCAUGUUUCGAACUAGCACCACAAAGAAUUAUAUUGUUAAUUGAACCAUCAUUUUGGUCAUCAGCAAACUUAUUCUCUAAUUGGCAUUUGUGCCACAAUGAAUCAUAUAUAUGUAUAUAUAAUAUAAUAAUAAUAAAGCACGGGUUGAGCAUGGCGGGUUCACCGUCGCGGCGUUUUUGCAAAGAAGUCCCUGUUUUUUUUUAUAAUUAACCCGCGCUAUAGUUUUAAGUGGUGAACAGAGGGAAAACGUUUCGUGUGUUGGCUUGGGACUCGGCUUGGCCUUCAGGGAAAAAAUAUAGCACGGCGGCCUGUCCUCUAUGAGUACGCACAACAGCACGGGUCCUCUUCCCGGGGACGGCACGGCAGCGCCGCCAUGAAUCAAGCCGCCACGCGCGGCCGGUCUACCUCUCCCGCUACUCUCCAGCAGCGCGGCCGUUGCCCUUUUCUUCCCCUCCUCACCCGCCCCAACUCCUCACCCCCAGCCUCCUCGGCCUCAACGCGGACGUCUCCGAUUUGGAUAGGAUUCGAUGGCGUGUUCACACCGCCACGCGCGGCCGGUGCCCUGUUCUUCGCCUCCUCACCCCCGGCCUCCUCCGCCUCGAGGAGGACGGCUCCGAUUUGGAGCUCAAGUACUGCCUCCCCGACACCUCCGUCCCCAACUACGUCGUCCCGUCAGACGAGGACGAGAUUUGGAUUGGGGCGCAACAGAGAUGAGGAAGGACAAAGCAAGAAUAGCUCCAGUGAGAGUGAACGAAUAUGAACACCACAACCCUCUCAGGGGAUGUUGGCUGAUCAGGAUACCCAAUUCUCAAACAAGCAUGCUGAGAUGCUCAAGAUAUGGAAGUUCGUCCACAAGCUCGACCACCAGGUUUUUUUGGUUCAUGUUCAAUGGGAGGCGAAUAGUGUAGAGAGGGUAUCUGAUGCAAGUCCAAGGUAAACAUUUGUUUCUUUUAUUGUGUUUAGGUGAACAUGUAAAAGGUGCAGAUGGACAUGAUGAAGCCGUGAAUUGUCACACAAGUCACUGAGCUUCUUGGGUUCGAAAAACUACCUAACUGCUAUUAUCCUGAAUUUAGUUUUAUCUGAACUAAGAGGACCACCUGUGCUUCUCUAACAAAGAAUUACUCAUUUGGUAUUCUUUUGCACUGUUGAUUUUAGUUCAAAUUGGUGUGAGUGCGACCUCUUUGUCAUGUUGGAUAAGGCUUUCUGUAUCACAUGGAUGUGACCUGUAGUAUGGUGUAGAAAAGUGAUGAAAGGUAUUAGUUGGAAUUAAUUUGGCAGCAAUAGUUUAUCAAGUUUUUGCCAAGCCAGCUAUUUGUGGAAUUUCUGCAGCUGUACUUUGUGCCAUCUCCCUCAUGCAGAUAUAUAUACUAGCAGACUAGCACGUAAAUUAUUUACAUCAAAACUGAGACAUAUCUAUAUAUGAUGGAGGCAUUUCUUUCUUUAUAUUCAGCAGUACCUCUUGCUACUAUAAAGAAAGUAGAAACAUGGUUGAUAAAUAAUCACAUUGUUCUGCCCAUUUUUCAUUUCACAAUCCAUUACAAUUGUUAUGUCCUUGCAAUCAUACCACUACACAUGACGCUUCCUAGAUCUGGAACCCAACCAAAGAACAAUCAAGUUUGAUUCGUGCUGUUAUUGGGCCUCGCUGCGACCCUGAUGUUUUUGGGCCAAGUUGGGCAGAAUCUACUCAUGCUUAUAAAACAAGUUUGUUAACAGAUUAAACAGUCCCACCUAGCUUCUUACAGCUAAUUCUAUCAAGUUUAAAAAAAAUAAUUCUAUCAAUUUAUAUAUGCCUAUAAGUAUGAGAAUUAACAAGCAGCUUGAGAAUAAACUAACGGAGGGUGAGCUGUGUUUAGGAAAAAGUAUCACCUGGUUGGCGUAAUAAAUAAAAGGAGUUGGGGAUUGUUGGCUGCCAAAUGAAAAAUCUCAGGAGGCCUAAAUAAAAGGGAUCGUGGGCUGCGAAUCAAAAAACCCUGGUUAGUAUAAAUAAAGGAAAUUGUGGGCUCUGAAAUGAAAAAUUCCGGUUGACAUAAAUAAAGGGAUUGUGGGCUACGAAACGAAUAAUCUCAAUUGAGCACGAUUGUUGUAUGCUACACGAAAAAUAAAAGCGACUAUGGUCUGUGAAACAAAAAAUAAGCAAAGGCCUCCCGGUUGGCAUAAAUAAAAUGCUAUGAAACGAAGAAAAUAAAUAAAUGGGCAUGGUUGAACAAUUUCAGUAUUUUAUACUAAUACUAUUUUCAUUUAAAGGCUGAAUUUUGUCACCCCGUUGCAACACACGGGCAUAUGUCCUAGAAGAUAUUUGGAAUGCAGAGUUCAUGAAAACAAAUAUUUGUGCGGUCUAAAUAGUACUGUAUUUUAGUUUUCUGGAAGGAUGCAAAAGUCAUACUGGGCUUCCUGUGUAUACUGAUUGCUAAAUGAUGCAAUAGUAUUUGUGCGGUGGGGGAGUGUCAUUCCCUGUGUUUACCAAUUGGUCUCACCCUCUUAAGAGAUCUAACCCUUGUCACCGUAAGGAAAAAAGCAAAGAGUAUUAUGACGCCAUAAAGUUUGAAUUCAGAGAAGUAUAUGCUGAAGAACACCAGAAUUAGUCUUCAUGAACCAUCAUCGCCUUGUUGAUGAUGCUUCACAUAGCGCCCACAAAUUAAACAACCUAUGAAAUGGCCAGAAGGGACCGGAUAUCCUACUUGUAUUUGCAGAGGAAUUCCGAACAGGCUUCAUUAAUUCAGUAAAGGCCUAUGUAGAAACAUCUAUGACUUCACUAGAGAGUGGAUCUGCACUCGAGGAGCAGCUCGAGCAGCUCUGCGCACAUGCCUAGACCUACUUUCCUGUCGGCGUUGUUGAUAUGUGUGUUCUGUAUCAUUCUUUACGUCUAGCGUGUGAUGUAAUCCAUUUUCAGACUUUUCACCAGUGGAAGCAUAUAUUUUACGAGCUGAAUCAAUAGAUGUUCAUUGAGCUUA